RNAcentral lists this ribosomal RNA (403 nucleotides) under uncultured bacterium. RNAcentral's name for it is "partial 16S ribosomal RNA". It matches the Rfam family "Bacterial small subunit ribosomal RNA", at positions 28 to 526 of the family's 1533-position model. The record is from RNAcentral.
GACGAACGCUGGCGGCAUGCCUAAUACAUGCAAGUCGAACGCAGUGGGUACGGGUGAGUAACACGUGGGUAACCUCCCAUCAGAGGGGAUAACACUUGGAAACAGGUGCUAGAACGAUAUUGGUGGCUGGACCCUCUGUGCAUUAGCUAGUGGGUGUGGUAACGGCACACCAAGGCCACGAUGCAUAGCCGACCGGAGAGGGUGAUCGGCCACACUGGGACUGAGCCAAGGCCCAGACUCCUACGGGAGGCAGCAGUAGGGAAUCUUCGGCAAUGGACGAAAGUCUGACCGAGAAACGCCGCGUGAGUGAAGAAGGUUUUCGGAUCGUAAAACUCUGUUGUUAGAGAAGCGGUAUCUAACCAGAAAGCCACGGCUAACUACGUGCCAGCAGCCGCGGUAAUAC